Molecule: long non-coding RNA, 98 nt
Organism: Perognathus longimembris pacificus (Pacific pocket mouse)
Lineage: Eukaryota; Metazoa; Chordata; Mammalia; Rodentia; Heteromyidae
Exons: 4
Source: RefSeq, a predicted model, not a curated record
CUAUAGCUUGGGUGAUUCCAAAUCUGAAGUAGUGGAAACUAUUGUUGUAAUUAGCGUGGGAUCAGAAAGGAUCAGAAAGCCUUUAUUUUUUGGCCAGU